This 207-nucleotide ribosomal RNA is filed under the name uncultured Rhodoferax sp. RNAcentral describes it as "partial 16S ribosomal RNA". It matches the Rfam family "Bacterial small subunit ribosomal RNA", at positions 1178 to 1382 of the family's 1533-position model. The record is from RNAcentral. Lineage: Bacteria; Pseudomonadati; Pseudomonadota; Betaproteobacteria; Burkholderiales; Comamonadaceae.
AGUGACGUCAAGUACCUCCAUGGCCCUUAUAGGUGGGGCUACACACGUCAUACAAUGGCUGGUACAAAGGGUUGCCAACCCGCGAGGGGGAGCUAAUCCCAUAAAGCCAGUCGUAGUCCGGAUCGUAGUCUGCAACUCGACUACGUGAAGUCGGAAUCGCUAGUAAUCGUGGAUCAGAAUGUCACGGUGAAUACGUUCCCGGGUCUU